AACCUGGUUGAUCCUGCCAGUAGUCGUACGCUCGACUCAAAGAUUAAGCCAUGCAUGUGUAAGUUCAACUAUAUGAUCUGAAAACUGCGAACGGCUCAUUAUAUCAGUUUACGUCUAUUUGACAGUCCCUUUACCAUUCGGAUAUCCGUAGUAAUUCUAGAGCUAAUACGUGCGUCAACACUCGUAAGAGUGGCGUUUAUUAGAUAGAAACCAUCCCGUUUCGGCGGUAUUUUGGUGAUUCACAAUAACCUAGCGGAUCGCAUGGCUUUGCCGGCGAUAGGUCAUUCGAGAUUCUGCCCUAUCAGAUAGACGGUAGUGUAUUGGACUACCGUGUCUUUAACGGGUAACGGAGGAUUAGGGUUUGAUUCCGGAGAGGGAGCCUGAGAGACGGCUACCACACCCAAGGAAGGCUGCAGGCGCGUAAAUUACCCAAUCACGACACGUGGAGGUAGUGACAAUAAAUAACAAUGCCGGGCAUUUCUAUGUCUAGC
RNAcentral lists this ribosomal RNA (491 nucleotides) under uncultured marine eukaryote. RNAcentral's name for it is "SSU rRNA". It matches the Rfam family "Eukaryotic small subunit ribosomal RNA", at positions 1 to 506 of the family's 1831-position model. The record is from RNAcentral.